This 482-nucleotide long non-coding RNA is filed under the name Pongo abelii (Sumatran orangutan). Its description in RNAcentral is "lincRNA". Lineage: Eukaryota; Metazoa; Chordata; Mammalia; Primates; Hominidae. The record is from RNAcentral.
GCCGUGAUAUAUGUCUCGCUCCCUUUCGCUUACAGAAAGGAUUUCUUCCGACAGACGUGACCCCAGAAGGCUGCCGAGGGAGACUUUAGGACAAGAGGAGUUGUUUUUUUAGGGAAGGGAGAGGAGCCUGUGCAGAGUUGAACUGGGGUGGGGAGGUGCCUUGUAAAGUAUGGUUUCCAGAGAUGGUGAGACCUCGUAGCUAAGCGUUGUUUCCUCUGCACGUAACUUUUCAGCGCGGCCGCAUUUUGAAAAGGCUGAAGGUAGAAAACUCUGGAAUGGAGAGGCUGGCGACUGGAGUAGGAUCCAGGGGCUUUAAAUUUUAACCUGAGUGCGAUCGAAUGCGCGACUCCCAGAAGAGAUAGCCAGGCGUCCGCCCGGCCGCUCAACCCCCGCCAGGACUCGGAAUGCCUUGCUUUUGGUUCUUUUCUACAAGGAUGUCUACGUGGAUAUCCCUGGACACUUGAUACCCCCCCGGGGACCUG